AUGAACGCUGGCGGCGUGCUUAAUACAUGCAAGUCGAACGAAGACAGUAGCAAUAUUGUCUGAGUGGCGAACGGGUGAGUAACGCGUUGGUGACCUGCCCCGAAGAGAGGGAUAACAGUCCGAAAGGAUUGCUAAUACCCCAUGUGGUCGUUUGGAUUAGAUGCCCUAUGACUGAACGGAUUUAUUCGCUUCGGGAGGGGCCUGCGUCCCAUCAGCUAGUUGGUAGGGUAAUGGCCUACCAAGGCGAUGACGGGUAGGGGACCUGAGAGGGUGGCCCCCCACAAUGGAACUGAAACACGGUCCAUACACCUACGGGUGGCAGCAGUAGGGAAUAUUGGUUAAUCUGGGAAACCGGGAACCAGCAACGCCGCGUGCACGAUGAAGGCCUUCGGGUUGUAAAGUGCUUUUUGAAAGGAUGAGGAAGGACAGUACUUUCAGAAUAAGCUUCGGCUAACUACGUGCCAGCAGCCGCGGUAAAACGUAGGAAGCGAGCGUUAUCCGGAUUUACUGGGCGUAAAGCGUGUGUAGGCGGUUUGACAAGUUGGAUGUGAAAGCUCCUGGCUUAACUGGGAGAGGUCGUUCAAAACUGUCAGACUUGAGAGUGGUAGAGGGAGGUGGAAUUCCGGGUGUAGUGGUGAAAUGCGUAGAUAUCCGGAGGAACGCCAGUGGCGAAAGCGGCCUCCUGGCCCAUUUCUGACGCUCAGACACGAAAGCUAAGGUAGCAAACGGGAUUAGAGACCCCGGUAGUCUUAGCUGUAAACGAUGUGAACUUAGUGUCGGUGGGUUUAAAUCCAUCGGUACUGAAGCAAACGCGAUAAGUUCACCGCCUGGGGACUACGGCCGCAAGGUUA
RNAcentral lists this ribosomal RNA (851 nucleotides) under uncultured anaerobic bacterium. Its description in RNAcentral is "bacterial SSU rRNA". It matches the Rfam family "Bacterial small subunit ribosomal RNA", at positions 29 to 896 of the family's 1533-position model. The record is from RNAcentral.